GACGAACCGUGCGAACGUUAUUCGGAAUCACUGGGCUUAAAGGGCGCGUAGGCGGGCCGCCAGGUCCGGGGUGAAAUCCUCCAGCUCAACUGGAGAAGUGCCUUGGAUACCGGCGGGCUCGAGGGAGGCAGGGGCGUGCGGAACUUCGGGUGGAGCGGUGAAAUGCGUAGAUAUCCGAAGGAACACCGGUGGCGAAAGCGGCUUUCUGGGGCUGUCCUGACGCUGAGGCGCGAAAGCUGGGGGAGCGAACAGG
RNAcentral lists this ribosomal RNA (253 nucleotides) under uncultured bacterium. RNAcentral describes it as "partial 16S ribosomal RNA". It matches the Rfam family "Bacterial small subunit ribosomal RNA", at positions 524 to 776 of the family's 1533-position model. The record is from RNAcentral.